RNAcentral lists this ribosomal RNA (305 nucleotides) under uncultured bacterium. Its description in RNAcentral is "bacterial SSU rRNA". It matches the Rfam family "Bacterial small subunit ribosomal RNA", at positions 338 to 635 of the family's 1533-position model. The record is from RNAcentral.
CCUACGGGAGGCAGCAGUAGGGAAUCUUCGGCAAUGGGGGCAACCCUGACCGAGCAACGCCGCGUGAGUGAAGAAGGUUUUCGGAUCGUAAAGCUCUGUUGUAAGAGAAGAACGUGUGUGAGAGUGGAAAGUUCACACAGUGACGGUAACUUACCAGAAAGGGACGGCUAACUACGUGCCAGCAGCCGCGGUAAUACGUAGGUCCCGAGCGUUAUCCGGAUUUAUUGGGCGUAAAGCGAGCGCAGGCGGUUGGAUAAGUCUGAAGUUAAAGGCUGUGGCUUAACCAUAGUAUGCUUUGGAAACUG